This is a long non-coding RNA of Bos taurus (domestic cattle), 1378 nucleotides long. NCBI's taxonomy places the organism in Eukaryota, Metazoa, Chordata, Mammalia, Artiodactyla, Bovidae. The record is from Ensembl.
AGAAAUGAGAAACUUGAAAAGGCCGUUUGUUGAAUCCAGUGUGUUUUGGGUCAUGACACGAGUGAACAGGACUGUUUCUUGCCUUGACAAACACUGGUGCAGGCCCGUGUCAACGAUAAAGGCAAAUCUCCAUUCAAAUGGAGCCAGUUGGUGGAGCUGUGUGCAGGCAAUUAUAGUUGACAGCCCAGCGAUUGCAAACCUCAGCGACAGCAUGAAAGAUAAGUUCUCUGACAGUAAGAUGGCAAUUCCUGGGCCACAAACGAUACCACUGGAGAACACCCCCAAAACUGAAGCUCUCCCAAAAGCAUUGCAGCAGGACCAUUCAUUGACCACGGUAGAGUUAAUGAUGUCUGCGCGCUGACUGCCAGAUCCAACAGCACCGAAGGCAAGUUCUGGCUGCCAAGAAGGGAGCUGCAGGGUUGAAGCAUCCUCUCCCAGCCUCCUCCCACAGGACCAAGUCCUCACCAUCAGUUUUCUCUGUCUUUAAAAAACAACUUUUUUCUUUAUAUAUAUAUAUAUUUCAUUGAAGUAUAAUUGACUUACAAUGUUUCAAGUGCACAGCAAGGUGAUUCAGUUAUAAAUAUACACACAAUAUAAAUAUACAUAUAAAUAUACACAUAUAAAUAUAUACAUAUCAGAGAAGGCAAUGGCACCCCACUCCAGUACUUUUGCCUGGAAUAUCCCAUGGAUGGAGCCUGGUGGGCUGCAGUCCAUGGGGUCGCUAAGAGUUGGAUACAACUGAGUGACUUCACUUUCACUUUUCACUUUCAUGCAUUGGAGAAGGAAAUGGCAACCCAGUCCAGUGUUCUUACCUGGAGAAUCCCAGGGACGGGGGAGCCUGGUGGGCUGCCGUCUGUGGGGUUGCACAGAGUCGGACACGACUAAAGUGACUUAGAAGCAGCAGCAGCAUACACAUAUAUUAUUUUUCAGAUUAUUUUCCAUAAUAGGUUAUUAUAUGAUAUUGACUGCAGUUCCCUGUAAUAUACAGUAAACUUUUGUUGCUUGUUGCAUAUCUUUUUUUUUUAAUUAGAAAUCUAACAAGGUAUCAUUUAUAUGCCACAAAAAUAUCUGUUUUAAGUGUACAAUUCAAUGGUAUUUAGUACAUUUAAAGAGUUGUACAUAUCCUGUAAUCUAAUUUUAGAAUAUAUCCAUCAUCCCCCCCAGAAAGAAGCCUCCUGUGCAUUUGUGUUCAGACCCAAUUCUUACCCCCAGGCCCAGGCAACCACUGAUCUGCUUUCUGUCUGAACAGUUUUAUAUGCGGAUGAAACAGGGGAUGUCUUGCAAACAGUAUCUGCUGGGCACUUGGGAUGAAGCAAAACACAGACCAGUUGACUAUUUUUCAUAGUCUCAGAAAAAUAAAAAAAUUCAGUAACUUUAA